Molecule: ribosomal RNA, 534 nt
Filed under: Podosphaera xanthii
Lineage: Eukaryota; Fungi; Ascomycota; Leotiomycetes; Helotiales; Erysiphaceae
Description: eukaryotic LSU rRNA
Rfam family: 5.8S ribosomal RNA (bases 182-335)
Source: RNAcentral
UUACUGAGCGCGAGGCCCCGCAGCGCGCACGCGCUGCGGCGGUUGACCCUCCACCCGUGUGAACUCUUAUCUGUUGCUUUGGCGGGCCGGGCUCGACCUGCCGGCUCCGGCUGGCGAGUGCCCGUCAGAGAAGCCCCAACUCGUGCUGUGAGUGUUGUCUGAGGAAAUGUGGAAUUAGUAAAACUUUCAACAACGGAUCUCUUGGCUCUGGCAUCGAUGAAGAACGCAGCGAAAUGCGAUAAGUAAUGUGAAUUGCAGAAUUUAGUGAAUCAUCGAAUCUUUGAACGCACAUUGCGCCCCCCGGCAUUCCGAGGGGCAUGCCUGUUCGAGCGUCAGAACACCCCUCAAGCCUAGCUUGGUCUCGGGGCUCGCCGGCUCGGCGGCCCCUAAACGCAGUGGCGGUGCUGGUGUGCUCUCCGCGUAGUCAUGUAUCUCGCGACAGAGUGGCGACGGCACCCGCCAGAACCCCAGUCUUUGGAUGACCUCGGAUCAGGUAGGGAUACCCGCUGAACUUAAGCAUAUCAUUAAGCGGAG